This 463-nucleotide ribosomal RNA is filed under the name uncultured bacterium. RNAcentral describes it as "partial 16S ribosomal RNA". It matches the Rfam family "Bacterial small subunit ribosomal RNA", at positions 28 to 507 of the family's 1533-position model. The record is from RNAcentral.
GAUGAACGCUGACAGAAUGCUUAACACAUGCAAGUCUUUGGCGAAGCUGUGCUUGCACAGCCUAGCCAAGGCGGACGGGUGAGUAACGCGUAAGGAACUUGCCCUGCAGUCAGGGAUAACAGACGGAAACGACUGAUAAGACCUGGUAAAGUCAGGCGGACUCAUGUCCAGCCUGAUGAAAAGAGAUGCUGCAGGAGAGCCUUGCGUCCUAUUAGCUUGUUGGUGGGGUAACGGCCCACCAAGGCGAUGAGAGGUAGCCGGCCGGAGAGGGUGGACGGCCACAAGGGGACUGGGGUACGGCCCUUACUCCUACGGGAGGCAGCAGGGGGGAAUAUUGGACAAAGGGGGCAACCCUGAUCCAGCAAUUCUGUGUGCACGAUGAAGGUUUUCGGAUUGUAAAGUGCUUUCAGCAGGGAAGAAAAAAAUGGCGGUACCUGCAGAAGAAGCGACGGCUAAAUACGUG